GACGAACGCUGGCGGCGUGCUUAACACAUGCAAGUCGAACGGAAAGGCCCUGCUUUUGUGGGGUGCUCGAGUGGCGAACGGGUGAGUAACACGUGAGUAACCUGCCCUUGACUUUGGGAUAACUUCAGGAAACUGGGGCUAAUACCGGAUAGGAGCUCCUGCUGCAUGGUGGGGGUUGGAAAGUUUCGGCGGUUGGGGAUGGACUCGCGGCUUAUCAGCUUGUUGGUGGGGUAGUGGCUUACCAAGGCUUUGAGGGGUAGCCGGCCUGAGAGGGUGACCGGCAACAUGGGGCCUGAGAGAGGCCCCAGACGCGAAGGGGAGGCAGGGGGGGGAAGUCUGGCAGAAGGGCGGGGAGCGUGAGACAGAAGCGCCGGGUGCGGGAUACCGGCCUCGGGGUGAAAAACCAAUGUCGCCGGAAACAAGGCGGGAGUGACGGUAGUGGAUAAAAAAGCCACGGCUAACUACGUG
Molecule: ribosomal RNA, 468 nt
Filed under: uncultured bacterium
Lineage: Bacteria
Description: partial 16S ribosomal RNA
Rfam family: Bacterial small subunit ribosomal RNA
Source: RNAcentral